This 73-nucleotide transfer RNA is filed under the name Cotesia glomerata. Its description in RNAcentral is "tRNA-Ala". Lineage: Eukaryota; Metazoa; Arthropoda; Insecta; Hymenoptera; Braconidae. The record is from RNAcentral.
GUCUUAGAUGGCCUAACUGAUAGAGUUUCGGGCGCGCGAUCAGAUGAACCGGGUUCGAGUCCUGGUCUAGACU